CAGCUUGUAAUUGUGUAGCUCAAUCCAUUUAAGUAAUUACAAUAUUAUAUGAGAGAAAUAAGAUAAACUUCAUUAACAAUAAAAGUUCAUAAAAAAAAAAAAACUAGACAUAAGCAAAAAUGUCACCCGCAAUAUCAUAUGAGUACCCAUUCCCCUAAGAUAAUAUAAACCCUCUAUGAAGCCUCUAUGACGCUACGAAUAAAGUAAUAAAGUUACGGAGCUUGUCCACACUAUAAAAAUAUAUACAACUGAAAUAUUGUGGUCCCACGAGUACGAAGGUGGGCUCACCAAAAGAGAGGAAACUGUGGGAACUCUAGUAUGUGCGCUGACCGCCUUGCACUCGACUGUCUGCUAAACCUGACACCAUUUAAACAAACGAUGCUUGAGUAUUAAAAUUCUCAGAUAUGCGUCAUAGCCGCCACUAAUGUUGGUAUAAGAGUUAUACAAAUUAUAAUCUAUAUAAUAAGGCAAAAGAUAAAUAAUCUCGAAUAAAUUAAGGAAGAUAAGGUACAUAGAAUCACAAUAAAGGAUAAAUUUGCAAGAAUAAUAAUUUAAGUUUUAUUCAUUUAGACCUCUUUCAUAGGUCCAAUAUCUCAUUAGUAUCGUCCUCAUUAUCUAGUAUCUCAAUAUCAAUGGCAUACAUAGUGUUGGAAUACAUCGGGAUGCUAUCCACGAAUAUUGUCGUACCAUCCCCAAAAGGUUAGGCCAAUGUGUACAGUCAAGGAUCCAAGAAGGUUGUCGUACCACUCCCGCACAGCUAGACAAGGCAUAUAUUUUUUAUUUCAUCAUUUUUUCUUUUAAUGGACAUCAGCCGAAAAUUACGUUGUUAUGUAAUACAUCAAGGAUCCAAAAAGGUUGUCGCACCGCUCCCGCACAGCUAGACAAGACACAUUUUUUUAUUUAUUCAUCUUUGUCCAAACCAAGAGUAGGCCAUGAAAGCCUAUCCCUAAUGUACACGGAAUAUCAUCCAACUAUAAUUCGAAGCCAAGAGUAAAUUUGAUAAUACACAAGUAACUAGGAGCUCGACAUACCUUGAAGUCGCUCUAAGUUAGCUAAAGCUCGCCUCGAUAGAGUUCAAUCUACAUAAUAUAUCAUAUAUGGGUAGUGAGUUAAUACUCAAAACAUCCUAAAAUCCCCAAAUAUUUUAACCCAAGAUUGACUUAUUUCAAGAUUCACCCCAAACAAGAAUCCCUAGGUCCCUAAAUUCUUAAAAUUAAUUCUUAUAUGUGGUCUAUAUCACAAACUAUAUAUACUAAAUAAUUUCUCUUAUANANNNNNNNNNNNNNNNNNNNNCUCUUGGUGUGACUCGAACUCACAACCUCUUAGUUGGAAGUGGAGGGUGCUUACCAUCAGAGCAAAUACCUUACAGAGAAACUAGAGAUGAUUUUCGAUCUCUUACUGUUACUGCCACUUGAUCUUUAAGAACUUGAUCGAUUGUAAAACUUUCACUUUAUCCAAGCCCCUCCUUCGUAUUUCCAGUAGCUAAAAGGGGAGAAUGCCUACCUUAGCGUCAAGGAGAAGCCAAAAGAAGGUCUUGGUUCUCUCUCCCUUAUUUUAUAUUUAUGUAAGUUGUACCCCUCUUUCUU
Molecule: long non-coding RNA, 1586 nt
Filed under: Nicotiana tabacum (common tobacco)
Lineage: Eukaryota; Viridiplantae; Streptophyta; Magnoliopsida; Solanales; Solanaceae
Description: long non-coding RNA (NTAB_LNC002262)
Source: RNAcentral